This 497-nucleotide ribosomal RNA is filed under the name uncultured bacterium. RNAcentral's name for it is "partial 16S ribosomal RNA". It matches the Rfam family "Bacterial small subunit ribosomal RNA", at positions 28 to 507 of the family's 1533-position model. The record is from RNAcentral.
GACGAACGCUGGCGGCGUGCCUAAUACAUGCAAGUAGAACGCUGAAGAGAGGAGCUUGCUCUUCUUGGAUGAGUUGCGAACGGGUGAGUAACGCGUAGGUAACCUGCCUUGUAGCGGGGGAUAACUAUUGGAAACGAUAGCUAAUACCGCAUAACAAUAGGUGACACAUGUCAUUUAUUUGAAAGGGGCAAUUGCUCCACUACAAGAUGGACCUGCGUUGUAUUAGCUAGUAGGUGAGGUAACGGCUCACCUAGGCGACGAUACAUAGCCGACCUGAGAGGGUGAUCGGCCACACUGGGACUGAGACACGGCCCAGACUCCUACGGGAGGCAGCAGUAGGGAAUCUUCGGCAAUGGGGGCAAUCCUGACCGAGCAACGCCGCGUGAGUGAAGAAGGUUUUCGGAUCGUAAAGCUCUGUUGUAAGUCAAGAACGAGUGUGAGAGUGGAAAGUUCACACUGUGACGGUAGCUUACCAGAAAGGGACGGCUAACUACGUG